Mycena epipterygia is the source of this 90-nucleotide non-coding RNA. NCBI's taxonomy places the organism in Eukaryota, Fungi, Basidiomycota, Agaricomycetes, Agaricales, Mycenaceae. The record is from the annotation of a GenBank genome assembly.
GCACCGGUGGUGUACGGAAUACACAAUCCAUUCAUAUGGCAAGAAUAACCAUGGAGGAUUGAGUCCGGGGUUCGACUCCCCGCUGGUGCA